GGCAGUGUUCCGGUGACACAGCCUGGAAUGGGGCUUCCUCCUCUCUGGUUCCGGGUGCUUCACCCGAGAACCACA
This is a non-coding RNA of Myotis davidii, 75 nucleotides long. The record is from Rfam. NCBI's taxonomy places the organism in Eukaryota, Metazoa, Chordata, Mammalia, Chiroptera, Vespertilionidae.